Molecule: non-coding RNA, 99 nt
Filed under: Nicotiana sylvestris (wood tobacco)
Lineage: Eukaryota; Viridiplantae; Streptophyta; Magnoliopsida; Solanales; Solanaceae
Description: Bacterial large subunit ribosomal RNA
Rfam family: Bacterial large subunit ribosomal RNA
Source: Rfam by way of RNAcentral
GCUUGGGCUCGAAAGCUGGCCCCGAUAAGCAGCGGCAGUAACUCUAACUGUCCUAAGGUAGCAAAAUUCAUUGUUGCAUAAGUAGCGACCUGCACGAAU